Molecule: ribosomal RNA, 544 nt
Filed under: uncultured bacterium
Lineage: Bacteria
Description: partial 16S ribosomal RNA
Rfam family: Bacterial small subunit ribosomal RNA
Source: RNAcentral
UGGGGAAUUUUGGACAAUGGGCGAAAGCCUGAUCCAGCAAUGCCGCGUGUGUGAAGAAGGCCUUCGGGUUGUAAAGCACUUUUGUCCGGAAAGAAAUCCUUGGCUCUAAUACAGUCGGGGGAUGACGGUACCGGAAGAAUAAGCACCGGCUAACUACGUGCCAGCAGCCGCGGUAAUACGUAGGGUGCAAGCGUUAAUCGGAAUUACUGGGCGUAAAGCGUGCGCAGGCGGUUUGCUAAGACCGAUGUGAAAUCCCGGGCUCAACCUGGGAACUGCAUUGGUGACUGGCAGGCUAGAGUAUGGCAGAGGGGGGUUAGAAUUCCACGUGUAGCAGUGAAAUGCGUAGAGAUGUGGAGGAAUACCGAUGGCGAAGGCAGCCCCCUGGGCCAAUACUGACGCUCAUGCACGAAAGCGUGGGGAGCAAAGCAGGAUUAGAUACCCUGGUAGUCCACGCCCUAAACGAUGUCAACUAGUUGUUGGGGAUUCAUUUCCUUAGUAACGUAGCUAACGCGUGAAGUUGACCGCCUGGGGAGUACGGUCGCAA